AACGAACGCUGGCGGCAGGCUUAACACAUGCAAGUCGAACGGGCGUAGCAAUACGUCAGUGGCAGACGGGUGAGGAACACGUGGGAAUAUCCCCUUCAGUUCGGAAUAACUCAGGGAAACUUGAGCUAAUACCGGAUACGCCAGAGAUGAGAAAGAUUUAUCGCUGAAGGAUUAGCCCGCGUCUGAUUAGCUAGUUGGUGAGGUAAUGGCUCACCAAGGCUACGAUCAGUAGCUGAUCUGAGAGGAUGAUCAGCCACAUUGGGACUGAGACACGGCCCAAACUCCUACGGGAGGCAGCAGGGGGGAAUAUUGGACAAGGGGCGCAAGCCUGAUCCAGCCAUGCCGCGUGAGUGAUGAAGGCCGUCGGGUUGUAAAGCUCUUUUGUCCGGGAAGAUAAUGACUGUACCGGAAGAAUAAGCCCCGGCAAACUUCGUGCCAGCAGCCGCAGUAA
Molecule: ribosomal RNA, 451 nt
Filed under: uncultured bacterium
Lineage: Bacteria
Description: partial 16S ribosomal RNA
Rfam family: Bacterial small subunit ribosomal RNA
Source: RNAcentral